GAUGAACGCUCGCGAUAGGCUUAACACAUGCAAGUCGAGGGGUAACGUGUUGGAAGCUUGCUUCCGAUGACGACGACCGGCGGAUGGGUGCGUAACGCGUAUGCAACUUGCCUCACAGUGGAGAAUAACCCGGAGAAAUCCGGACUAAUACUCCAUACACUCUUAAGUACGCCUGUACAUGAGAGGAAAGAUUUAUCGCUGUGAGAUAGGCAUGCGUCCUAUUAGGUAGUUGGUGAGGUAACGGCUCACCAAGCCGACGAUAGGUAGGGGUGCUGAGAGGCAGAGCCCCCACAUUGGGACUGAGACACGGCCCAAACUCCUACGGGAGGCAGCAGUGAGGAAUAUUGGUCAAUGGAGGAAACUCUGAACCAGCCAAGUCGCGUGAAGGAAGAAUGUCCUAAGGAUUGUAAACUUAUUUAGCGAGCGAGUAAGGACUUCCACGUGAUGGGAGUUUGAAAGUAGCUCGAGAAUAAGUAGCGGCUAACUCCGUG
This 491-nucleotide ribosomal RNA is filed under the name uncultured bacterium. Its description in RNAcentral is "partial 16S ribosomal RNA". It matches the Rfam family "Bacterial small subunit ribosomal RNA", at positions 28 to 507 of the family's 1533-position model. The record is from RNAcentral.